RNAcentral lists this ribosomal RNA (439 nucleotides) under uncultured bacterium. RNAcentral's name for it is "partial 16S ribosomal RNA". It matches the Rfam family "Bacterial small subunit ribosomal RNA", at positions 339 to 795 of the family's 1533-position model. The record is from RNAcentral.
CUACGGGGCGCUCCAGUGAGGAAUAUUGCACAAUGGGGGGAACCCUGAUGCAGCAACGCCGCGUGGAGGAUGACGCAUUUCGGUGUGUAAACUCCUUUUAUAUGUCAAGAAAAUGACGGUAGCAUAUGAAUAAGCACCGGCUAACUCCGUGCCAGCAGCCGCGGUAAUACGGAGGGUGCAAGCGUUACUCGGAAUCACUGGGCGUAAAGGGUGCGUAGGCUGUUUGAUAAGUCAGGGGUGAAAUCCCACGGCUCAACCGUGGAACUGCUCUUGAAACUAUUAGACUAGAGUGAGGGAGAGGUAGAUGGAAUUAGUGGUGUAGGGGUAAAAUCCGUAGAGAUCACUAGGAAUACCGAAAGCGAAGGCGAUCUACUGGAACUUAACUGACGCUGAGGCACGAAAGUGUGGGGAGCAAACAGGAUUAGAUACCCGCGUAGUC